GUAAAGAGUCUAUGACUGUAACAUGGGAGGGGAAAACAGCAUGCCUGAUUGCAGCACCUGCUUGCACAGGUAAACUUAAUCAGAGCGCCAGGUAUCAGCUGAGCUCUGUUCAUCCAGCAGCAAUUAGCCCACCUCAGCUGUGAAGAAUUUAGCUAAACUCAUCAACAGUAUUCUGAGAAGAGGGAUGAUAGGAAAAGCUGUGUUUAGACUUCAUGCCUUACCAGCUGGAGUGGGGGCUGCUGGUGUUGCCUUCUGUCAACAGGGUCUGUGGGGUGACAGUCUGCUUGGAAAGCUCUGCCUCGCUCACAAGCUGAUAAGGAGAAUAUGCCAAGUCAACCAGAUGAGUCAGCACAGGCAACAUAAAAAGAAAGUGACUUUGAUAGAGGCCAUUAUGGGCACAGCUGUAGGACUGGCAGUCUCUCAAAUGAGAUGACACCAAAAGCUCCAGCAUCUGCAGAGAAAAAGUGAAGUGAGUAAAUAUUCAUAUAUUUAUAUAUAUUUGUGUGUAUUUUAUAUAUUUGUAUAUACAUACACUCUAAAAUCACAGAAUCACAGAAUGGCCAGGAUUGGAAGGGACCUCAAGGAUCAUGAAUCUCCAACCCCCCUGCCACAUGCAGGACCACCAACCUCCCCAUUUAAUACCAGACCAGGCUGCCCAGGGCCCUAUCCAAUCUGGCCUUGAACACCUCCAUGGAUGGGACAUCCACAACCUCUCUGGGCAGCUACUUCCAGUACCUCAC
This 740-nucleotide long non-coding RNA is filed under the name Phasianus colchicus (ring-necked pheasant). RNAcentral describes it as "lncRNA (ENSPCLG00000022014.1)". The record is from RNAcentral. Lineage: Eukaryota; Metazoa; Chordata; Aves; Galliformes; Phasianidae.